This 68-nucleotide transfer RNA is filed under the name Prionailurus bengalensis (leopard cat). RNAcentral's name for it is "tRNA-Val". It matches the Rfam family "tRNA". Rfam says of the family: Transfer RNA (tRNA) molecules are approximately 80 nucleotides in length. Their secondary structure includes four short double-helical elements and three loops (D, anti-codon, and T loops). RNAcentral also lists the same sequence under 1 other name. The record is from RNAcentral. Lineage: Eukaryota; Metazoa; Chordata; Mammalia; Carnivora; Felidae.
CAAGAUGUAGCUUAAAUAAAGCAUCUGGCCUACACCCAGAAGAUUUCAUAUUGAACUGACCAUCUUGA